GGGCUUAUCCUUCGCAUCUCCCACCCAACAGAGCCUUGAUAAUCGACCCCAAUGUGCACCAGACGUCAAGAUGGAAAAGAGGCUCGUCAUGUAUGAAGUUGUAUCGUUCGCUUGCUUCCUCCUUUCGAGUCUGGUGGCCAAAUCACUCAAGGUUUUUAUCAGUUUCCAUAGGAACAAAAAUGAUCUGGACAUUUCUAAUACUCAUCAAUAUCAAGUAAUAAAGCCAAGUAGAGGUUUCAU
RNAcentral lists this unclassified non-coding RNA (240 nucleotides) under Hevea brasiliensis (rubber tree). Lineage: Eukaryota; Viridiplantae; Streptophyta; Magnoliopsida; Malpighiales; Euphorbiaceae. The record is from RNAcentral.